GCACUCUUGUUUUUCUUCAAUUUGUACAAGUCUUUUGCCUUUUACUAAAGAUUUCUGUGGAGACAAACUGUAAGAGUUUAACCCAAUUUUUUGAUACCCUGCUGGUUAGUGGGUA
This is a non-coding RNA of Poecilia formosa (Amazon molly), 115 nucleotides long. Lineage: Eukaryota; Metazoa; Chordata; Actinopteri; Cyprinodontiformes; Poeciliidae. The record is from Rfam.